Bombus terrestris (buff-tailed bumblebee) is the source of this 2455-nucleotide long non-coding RNA. RefSeq lists it as uncharacterized. The transcript has 5 exons. Lineage: Eukaryota; Metazoa; Arthropoda; Insecta; Hymenoptera; Apidae. The record is from RefSeq and is a predicted model, not a curated record.
UUUGUUAAUUAUUUGUAACUUUAUUUUAGUAGAUGAUGUGUAAUUAAAAUGGGAGUAGUAUUAUUUUGUGUUUAUUAUAGUGUAUAUAAUUAUUGUAUGUAUUUCAUUGCGCAUGCGUAAAAGUUACUUCGUGCUCACGACGAUCACUAUUACUUCUAAAAUGUCCGCUUGUGAAUGUUUUCAGUGUUUUAUAACUUUUUAUUCAAUACUGGAAUGAUUAUUUAUCUGUUACUUAUUUUUAACUUUAUUUUAGUGCAAUUGAAUAUUGUAAUGACAAUAAUAUUGUUUUUGAGUUCCUUAUAAUGUGUAUAUAUACAGUUCUCCGAUUCUAUUUCUCCAACGCUGCGUUGCUUGCUUGAAACAUUUAUACAGUGCGUGUUCGGCAUCGUCUGGUUCUUUGUUACACUCUCAACGCUUAUUAUGAGUACUUCUAUUUAUCCUAUAUCUGUUCUCUGACUUUAUUCUCCAAGUCUAUACGCUGCAUCGCUCACGUAGGACAUGCACAGUGCAUGUUCGGCAUCAUCUGGUUCUUCAUUACAUUGUCAGCACUUAUUAUGACUACUUUUAUUUAUGUUAGAUUUUUUCCUGUUGCCUUCUUAACUCUUCCACUAGUGUGUGCUUCAAUAUUCCGUAUGUAUUCACUUAAAUUUGGUAGUAAGCUUUUCAUAACUGUUUCGGCUUUUGUGUAUACCUUUUUUCGAUGUGAGUAGUGAAUUUCCUAUUAUUAUCAAGUUCUAGUCCAAAGUAUUUUAUAACAUUCUUUUUUUUAAUUUUCUCAGGUUAUAAUUGUCAAUCUUAAUUUUUAUUACUUUUGGUAUUCUCAUACCUGUAAGUAAAGUGGUCUCAGUUUUUUUUUCAUUGGCCAACUGUAAGUCUGUUGUCGAACAUCAAUUAUUAACAGUUAUCAUCAUUUCUUUUAGUUUAACUUUAAUAUUGUUAUAAAUAUUUAAUAUUCUUUUCUUUCUUUCUUUUUUUUUAAAUUGUUUCAGCUGAUCGUCGUAUACUAUGUUUUACAAAAAUGGACCCAUAACCAAUCCCUGUGGAAUUCCUGCACAUACAUUUCUUUUUACGAAUAAUUACUUAUCUACAAGCCUCAUUGAUUUAUAAGGUAACGAAGAGAACGAUUAUUCUUAGUUGAGAGAAUCCGUAUAUAUGUUGUCCUUGACUGUUCGCUGGUUAUGAGAACCAAUAUAGUGACUCUCCUGAUGGCGUAGAAGUAGGAGCAGUCGGAGCAGUAGGAACAGUCGGAGCAGUAGGAACAGUCGGAGCAGUAGGAACAGUCGGAGCAGUAGGAACAGUCGGAGCAGUAGGAACAGUCGGAGCAGUAGGAACAGUCGGAGAGAUGAAGGAACUGUAGGAACUCUAGGCACCGUGAGAGCCGAUGGAAAACUCGGAACUGAGGCACUGUGAGAGCCAAAGGAACUCUCGGAACUGUAGUCACUUUGAGAGCCGAAGGAACUCUAGGCCUUGUAGGCACUGUGAGAAGUAAGGAACUCUCGGAACUGGAGGCACUGUGAGAGCCGAAGGAACUCUGAAGUUUGUUCUGAUGUGAUUACAGAGGAAAGCUUGGUAUGGAUGUGCCCUUUGAACAAAGAACGCGGAUUCGUUGCUUACAUUUUUAGUUAGGAAAAUGAGGGCAAUGAUCCGCGAUGCCGAUUGGUUAUGACCGAUGCUGGGAAGGAAGAUGAGAGGAAGAAGCCUCUUACCAACGUGAUUCAUGGGCGACAUUAUUUAUGGGAAAAACCAGCCUUUCCGUUAGGCAAUUAUUUCGUUUUUCCCAUUAGGUAACUACUUCCUUUCUCCGUAAUUUGGCAGAAUGUACAGUAGACCGAAGGACUUUUUAAGUACCAGUUAUAAACCGAAAAUACUUGCAGGAUUAAAGCUUCCUGCCAACUAAUAAGACUCGGUUUAUGGCGGGGCCUUAGGUUUAUUGAGGGUUUCUUUAACGAUGCUUGGGCCUUGACGGUCAGACAAUGAAGGACGUCGCGUGGACCUUUUCACGCGACGUAACAGGGUUCUCCGGCCAAGUGCCCAAAGACUAAUUCGUGGAGUACAGGGGAGUUAUAAGAAAACAUGUCUAAUUCUACCCACUCGUCCCCGUUUCUGGAAUUUUCGAUGUAUAACUUGAGAUAUUCGGUUAAUAGAUGGUGAGAUCUUUCGAUUGAACUAUUGCUUUGUAGGUGGUAUGCCGACAUAGUGUAUUGUUUGAUGCGAAAUCUCUUUGCUACUUUCUUUAUCAGCGAAGAUGUAAAGUUCGCUUCCUGGUCGGCAAGAAUGGCUAUCGGUGACCCGAAUCGGCAAAUAAAUCGUUUUACGAAAACGUUUGUUAUCUCAGCUGAAGAGAUCCCUUCCAUCGGAAUCCCGAUCGAAUACUUUGUCAAUAAAUCUUGAAUAAUUAAUAUAUAUUCAUUUCCCUUUUGUGUUGAGGUGAUGGGCGUGAUAGGUCUAGAAGAAU